ACGCACGCUGGCGGCGUGCUUAACCCCUUCAAGUCGCACGGAAAGGCCUCUUUCGGGGGGUACUCGAGUGGCGAACGGGUGAGUAACACGUGAGUAACCUGCCCUUGACUUUGGGAUAACUUCAGGAAACUGGGGCUAAUACCGGAUAGGAGCUCCUGCUGCAUGGUGGGGGUUGGAAAGUUUCGGCGGUUGGGGAUGGACUCGCGGCUUAUCAGCUUGUUGGUGGGGUAGUGGCUUACCAAGGCUUUGACGGGUAGCCGGCCUGAGAGGGUGACCGGCCACAUUGGGACUGAGAUACGGCCCAGACUCCUACGGGAGGCAGCAGUGGGGAAUAUUGCACAAUGGGUGGAAGCCUGAUGCAGCAACGCCGUGUGCGGGAUGACGGCCUUCGGGUUGUAAACCGCUUUCGCUCAUGACGAAGCUUUGUGUGACGGUAGUGGGUAAAGAAGCACCGGCUAACUACGU
This 465-nucleotide ribosomal RNA is filed under the name uncultured bacterium. RNAcentral describes it as "partial 16S ribosomal RNA". It matches the Rfam family "Bacterial small subunit ribosomal RNA", at positions 29 to 506 of the family's 1533-position model. The record is from RNAcentral.